AUGGCCGGUCUUCCAAUUGGACUCGGUAGCCAAAAGGUUGAAGCUAAUAUUUAAUCAGUCUGACUAGUUGUUUGCUUUCUUAGGGUCAACCUUUGCUGGCAAUUUGGAUAUCUUUCACUGCAGGAAUAACCAGAAAAGGUGAUGGAAUAUUGUCGACGCUAGAAAGAAGCAUCGAAAAAAGAUUUAGCAGGCUCAGCUUUGCCAGCGUUAAAUAGAAGUGUCGUUUUGUUUGGUUUCCGACGAUGUUUCUUUGUGUUGGCACGUUAAAACUAUUUUUCCGACGCUUUUUUUAAGCGUCGUAAAAUCCAUGACGCUUUAAAACGUCAUCGAAAGCUAUAAACACCCAAACCUUAGCUCGACUCAGCAUGAUCCUUUCUAAAUUUCCUUCUAAAUUUUCUCUCCUGCUUCGCUGCCUCCCCCGACCUCCUCCUUCUCCCUCUUGCUUGGCCUCCUCCUCCAUCACCAACCUCUCUCAGCGCCCGGCCUACUCCUUUGCCUCUUGCCCGGCCUCCUCCUCCGUCACCAGCCUCUUUGCCAGCCUCCUCCUCCAUCACAUAUAAAAUCUUGCCUACAUGUUCUUAAAAUUGUAGGCAUUAUUGAAGAGUGGAUUAUCAGUCGUUUGAGUUAAAAAUAU
This 634-nucleotide long non-coding RNA is filed under the name Phoenix dactylifera (date palm). RNAcentral's name for it is "long non-coding RNA (PDAC_LNC001432)". The record is from RNAcentral. Lineage: Eukaryota; Viridiplantae; Streptophyta; Magnoliopsida; Arecales; Arecaceae.